UACAGAGGGGGCAAGCGUUGUUCGGAAUUACUGGGCGUAAAGGGCGCGUAGGCGGCCUGUUAAGUCGAACGUGAAAUCCCCGGGCUCAACCCGGGAACUGCGUCCGAUACUGGCUGGCUUGAAUCCGGGAGAGGGAUGUGGAAUUCCAGGUGUAGCGGUGAAAUGCGUAGAUAUCUGGAGGAACACCGGUGGCGAAGGCGACAUCCUGGACCGGUAUUGACGCUGAGGCGCGAAAGCUAGGGGAGCAAACGGG
RNAcentral lists this ribosomal RNA (253 nucleotides) under uncultured bacterium. RNAcentral describes it as "partial 16S ribosomal RNA". It matches the Rfam family "Bacterial small subunit ribosomal RNA", at positions 524 to 776 of the family's 1533-position model. The record is from RNAcentral.